This is a long non-coding RNA of Harpia harpyja (harpy eagle), 1218 nucleotides long. RefSeq lists it as uncharacterized. NCBI's taxonomy places the organism in Eukaryota, Metazoa, Chordata, Aves, Accipitriformes, Accipitridae. The transcript is spliced from 3 exons. The record is from RefSeq and is a predicted model, not a curated record.
GUAAGACAGUGCCUGGGCUGGCACCAUGGACAGAGGCCCCCCAUGAAGUGGCUGGAGUUGUAGACAGUACAUUCCUGCCAAAUCUUACUCACGUAUAACAUUCUUCCUGAGAGCCCACACCCAUCUCCAGCCCACGUGGGAUUUUGUGCCUAAAGCAGAGAGCCCUUUCCAAACAAGAGCAGCCCACGGCCUCACUGGAGACCAGGUGGCAGAGCGUUUGGCACAGGGACAUCAGCCCAAGUUUCCCACCUUCCAAGUCUGCCUUCCAAAUCACCACAUCCCCAUGUUUCAGUGCAGAUUGAAUGACACUUUGUUUCACUGGAAAUUUUUGCAAGAUCUGCCUACAAGGAAUCAGCUGUCUAGAAGAUGCUGUUAAACUCUCUUUAAAAGAGAAAGAGAAAUUCUAGAGAUAUUUGUGCUGACUGCCCCUAAUCAUUAUUGGUCAUCAUCAUCCCAAUUUCAUGUACAUGUCCUCUGGAGGUCCCAUCUGGUCUGUGCUCCUGUCUGCUCAAUCACAUCUUCCUCAGGCACAGGUGACUCCAUCCUGCACCUUUCAGGAGCACUUCUUUGAAACUGGGCAUAAACUAUCUGCAAAAUUCAUCUUGUUACGUGAUUCGCACAAGAGGCUAUGGUACACACAUAGUUUGCCUUUGUCAGCUGAUUCUUACUAGAAUAAACCAGUAUUGCUUGGUUUGAUUUGCUUUUGUCUCAUUUUGUUUCAAACAAGGCAAAGCAUGCCACCGUUUAGCAAGAAUUUGCCUUUCCAUAGUCUUAUUUUUUAAAAAUACAUAUUUACCAGAGAGUUUAAGUUUUUACAAAUAAACAAAAAAUCAUCUUCAGGGAAAAUGUAAGAAGUUUCCAAGUCAUAAUUUUACUGGAAGUAAGAGCAUGCAAAAUUGCAGUAGAAGUUGCUGCGUGUUUUCAACCUUAGUGGAAGCCAAUAGGUAGCCUAUGUAUUACAGCUGCAAAAUGCAAACAUUUUAUGUGAUGUGUUGUUGUGAUAUGGUAAUUUUAUGCUUUCCACUUUACAGAUUUGGAACUAAAAAAUUUAGAGUCCAGUUUGCUCCCAUCACAAGAAUUACUUGCAGAGCUUCUAGAAGCAUAUUCCACAUGUGCCCAUGAUGAAUGCCAGAAACAGUAAAUGAACAUCAUUUAUGGUGGCUCUGUUGUUAUCUACAGCUACAGAGAGCACAGAAUAAAGCUAUGCUUUUGAAAGUU